AAGAAAGUAACGUAACCAUCCUUACCCUCGGGGCGCGCCGAGCUCAGACCCACGCUCGCCAGGGCGUCCUCCCGCAGGAGCUCGGUCAGGUCGUUGCCCCUCCCGAGGGCUCGCAGAGAGUCUAGGGUCCUCAGCUCCCUCCUCGAGGGCUCAGAGAGCUUAUUGAGGGCCUUCAACCGAGGGUUCCCCCACCUCGGGUCGAACCCCCAAGGCGCCUCGGACGCCAGGAAGAAAAAUUUCCCCUUCCACUCAUGAAUCGAGGAAGGGGCACCCUGGAAGAGUGACAUACCGCCCCGAAAGGCGAAGUAUAGCCACCC
This 317-nucleotide long non-coding RNA is filed under the name Phoenix dactylifera (date palm). Its description in RNAcentral is "long non-coding RNA (PDAC_LNC022445)". The record is from RNAcentral. Lineage: Eukaryota; Viridiplantae; Streptophyta; Magnoliopsida; Arecales; Arecaceae.